UUUUAAGAUUGUCAGGAUCUUCAGAAGGGUCAGUCUCUUCAGGAAGCCAUCUAGAGGGGAAGAGAUUAAAAGGAGGCAGAAAUACAGGCUAAAGGAAUCAAGCCAGGAACCCAAGAUUUUAUCUGGUAAGAGCUGGAUGGUGGGGAAGCCCUCAAGACUAUUCACUCUUUAUUUCUAAUCAAGAUUUAUGAGAACAGCACACCAGAACCUGGAGCAAUGAACACAGAACUGCUGAAACAGCUCAAAACAUGCAUUUGAGGAGAAGAACAGACGACACACCUACUAUGGGUGCAAAGGAUUACCAGGCUGUGUUCAGACCAGACUUCAGCAAUCCUCAAGAAACCCAGAGAAGCCCUGGACUGCCUUUAGUCCACUUUUAAAUUCUUUCCUGGGCUAAUCAGUAACCAACAGAGGAAAACAAAAGGGAGGAGGUGGGGAAGGUGGCCAGCAGAAAACCAGCAAUGACAUUAUGGUCAAAAGGAAAACUCAUGAGAAAGACCAAAUUACGGAUGCUGCAGAGAAAAGGGGUUAUCAGUCCUCAAGAACUGACCUGGGCACGAGGACGACUACACACCAGAUCACUAAUAUCUCUAAGGAACUCAAUAAUAAACUGUUAGAAUAUGGCUUUAUGGUUUAUAAAUUCUUCAAAAUACAUUUAUUCUUUUGAUCCUUGCAGCAACACUGUAAAAUAUUAUCAUCUCAGCUUUUGUAGAUGGUGACAUGAGACGCAGCAAAGUUAAGGGAUUUAACUUACCCAAGACUAAAUGCUGUUACGUAGCAGAGCUAGGUCUUAAAUCCAAAUCUUUUCAU
Molecule: non-coding RNA, 810 nt
Organism: Manis javanica (Malayan pangolin)
Lineage: Eukaryota; Metazoa; Chordata; Mammalia; Pholidota; Manidae
Source: RefSeq, a predicted model, not a curated record